CUACGGGAGGCUCCAGUGGGGAAUAUUGGACAAUGGGGGAAACCCUGAUCCAGCAAUGCCGCGUGUGUGAAGAAGGCCUGCGGGUUGUAAAGCACUUUCGGUUGGGAGGACUGCUUCUAGCACUAAUAUUGUUGGAAGUUGACGUUACCUUCAGAAGAAGCACCGGCUAACUCCGUGCCAGCAGCCGCGGUAAUACGGGGGGUGCAAGCGUUAAUCGGAAUUACUGGGCGUAAAGCGCGCGUAGGCGGCUAGAUCAGUCGGGUGUGAAAGCCCCGGGCUUAACCUGGGAACUGCAUCCGAUACUGUCUAGCUUGAGUACAGGAGAGGAGAGUGGAAUUCCACAUGUAGCGGUGAAAUGCGUAGAUAUGUGGAGGAACACCAAUGGCGAAGGCAGCUCUCUGGCCUGAUACUGACGCUGAGGUGCGAAAGCGUGGGGAGCAAACAGGAUUAGAUACCCUUGUAGUC
RNAcentral lists this ribosomal RNA (465 nucleotides) under uncultured bacterium. Its description in RNAcentral is "partial 16S ribosomal RNA". It matches the Rfam family "Bacterial small subunit ribosomal RNA", at positions 339 to 795 of the family's 1533-position model. The record is from RNAcentral.